RNAcentral lists this ribosomal RNA (497 nucleotides) under uncultured bacterium. RNAcentral describes it as "partial 16S ribosomal RNA". It matches the Rfam family "Bacterial small subunit ribosomal RNA", at positions 28 to 507 of the family's 1533-position model. The record is from RNAcentral.
GACGAACGCUGGCGGCGUGCCUAAUACACGCAAGUUGAGCGAUGAAGAUUGGUGCUUGCACCAAUUUGAAGAGCAGCGAACGGGUGAGUAACGCGUGGGGAAUCUGCCUUUGAGCGGGGGACAACAUUUGGAAACGAAUGCUAAUACCGCAUAACAACUUUAAACAUAAGUUUUAAGUUUGAAAGAUGCAAUUGCAUCACUCAAAGAUGAUCCCGCGUUGUAUUAGCUAGUUGGUGAGGUAAAGGCUCACCAAGGCGAUGAUACAUAGCCGACCUGAGAGGGUGAUCGGCCACAUUGGGACUGAGACACGGCCCAAACUCCUACGGGAGGCAGCAGUAGGGAAUCUUCGGCAAUGGACGAAAGUCUGACCGAGCAACGCCGCGUGAGUGAAGAAGGUUUUCGGAUCGUAAAACUCGGUUGGUAGAGAAGAACGUUGGUGAGAGUGGAAAGCUCAUCAAGUGACGGUAACUACCCAGAAAGGGACGGCUAACUACGUG